RNAcentral lists this transfer RNA (62 nucleotides) under Amblyomma sp. RNAcentral's name for it is "tRNA-Gly". The record is from RNAcentral. Lineage: Eukaryota; Metazoa; Arthropoda; Arachnida; Ixodida; Ixodidae.
ACUUUAUUAGUAUAAUUAGUACAAUUAAUUUCCAAUUAAGAAGUUUAUUUUUAAAUAAAGUA